GGGCCCAUAGCUCAGUGGUCAGAGCAGGCGGCUCAUAACCGCUCGGUCCCAGGUUCAAGUCCUGGUGGGCCCACCA
Molecule: transfer RNA, 76 nt
Filed under: bacterium
Lineage: Bacteria
Also listed under: 2 other names
Description: tRNA-Met
Rfam family: tRNA
About the family: Transfer RNA (tRNA) molecules are approximately 80 nucleotides in length. Their secondary structure includes four short double-helical elements and three loops (D, anti-codon, and T loops).
Source: RNAcentral